This 424-nucleotide ribosomal RNA is filed under the name uncultured bacterium. Its description in RNAcentral is "partial 16S ribosomal RNA". It matches the Rfam family "Bacterial small subunit ribosomal RNA", at positions 359 to 774 of the family's 1533-position model. The record is from RNAcentral.
GAAUAUUGGACAAUGGGGGGAACCCUGAUCCAGCCAUGCCGCGUGUGUGAAGAAGGCCUUUUGGUUGUAAAUCACUUUAAGCGCGGAGGAGGAGCUCUUGGUUAAUCACCAAGAUGCUUGGCAGUUAACCGCAGAAUAAGCACCGUCCAACCCUGCUCCAGCAACCGCGGUAAUACAGAGGGUGCAAGCGUUAAUCGGAUUUACUGGGCGUAAAGCGCGCGUAGGUGGCCAAUUAAGUCAAAUGUGAAAUCCCCGAGCUUAACUUGGGAAUUGCAUUCGAUACUGGUUGGCUAGAGUAUGGGAGAGGAUGGUAGAAUUCCAGGUGUAGCGGUGAAAUGCGUAGAGAUCUGGAGGAAUACCGAUGGCGAAGGCAGCCAUCUGGCCUAAUACUGACACUGAGGUGCGAAAGCAUGGGGAGCAAACA